Astatotilapia calliptera (eastern happy) is the source of this 2503-nucleotide long non-coding RNA. NCBI's taxonomy places the organism in Eukaryota, Metazoa, Chordata, Actinopteri, Cichliformes, Cichlidae. The record is from Ensembl.
UUCAGAUUGGUUGACAUGGGAUUCCUCAGAACUGUAUUUAUGUUCCCAGGGUCCUAUGUUUGGCAAUUCUAUACUCUUUUAACGCACAUCAAUCCUCCUGUUGUGUUUGGGUUAGACCCACAUCAUAUUAAGCGAAUUUGGGAUCCUAUUAUAAGCUGGGGAACAAAGGACUCUGGGAACAUGGUAUGACCCUGAUUUCGUUAUCCUGAAUUUUAAAGGUAUGUUGUCUGUAUACAGAAAUGAGAAAUGGAAGGAAAGCUAGACUCAAUACAGAUACCUAAAAUGCUGACAGUGCAGCUAAAGCUUUUUUUUUUUUUUUUUUUUUUAAAUAUACGUUCAUGCGUUUUUCUAAAGAAUUCUUAAAUCUGGAAGUCAUAGUUCCAAAAUCAUGGUUUUCAUAUACUUCUGAGGGGGAAUGUGGAAGUUUUAAAGAAGACAUGGUGUUUUUUCUUGCUAAUGCUGUUAAAAUAUGAUAAAAAAAAUAUUGCUUUAUUUGAUUUUGUCUUAUAACACUUACUGAUAAUGACUGUCAGGUGAUUACUUUAGCAUAAAGAUUGGAAACAAAGUAGCUAGCAUAGUUUUGUCAGCAGGCUUAGGCUAAUGUCCGCUAACCUACUGCUAGUUUGUAUUCAGUAGGAAUCUUCCAGGCAACUACUUUACAAGUUCUUUAAAUGAAAGAAAAUAGAAACUAGUCGACUAGCAUAAAAGACAGAAAACCUCAGAAAUAAUUUAAAACUCUUUACUUUAAAGUUUCAUGCUAAACAUUAGCCAAACAAAUAUUUCAUUUACAUCUUAGGAGAUACAAUAAAUACUUAAUCAUGUUCCUCGUUAAUCAAACCAUGUCUUAAAUGUUGCUGAAAUGUGCGCUGUAUAUAAUAUUGCAAACGCACACAACGUCAGAUAAGUUUGCAGAGUUUAGCUAAUCCAAGCGGUGCUAGCAACAGUAGCCUUGUUUUUUCCAGGCAGGCGUUCAAAUACCAGUGGCCAAAUAAUGGGGUCACAGUACAUGCAUGGCACAAAGGUUUAGGCUUCAGACUGCCAAUAAACACUGUUUGAGACAGUUUUGACUACUCGGGCCUCUCUGAUGUCACAGAGAGUGGAUCAAAUCUUAAUGUGAUUUUACAUUGAUCAUUUGCUUCCUAAAAGUUGGACACAGAAGGAUUCAGCUAUCAGGUUAGUGUCAAAGGGCAGCUAUGUCUAGUCGACUAGUUGCAUAAAUCCCUAAUAUUUAAUAUUGAGAUUCAAGUCAAUUUUCUUAUCUAACUUAUACCAUGAACAAAACAGUUGUUGUUUUUUCUCUAGAAUGUCACAUUUUUCUUUGAGAUAUCAAACCUCAACACUAACAGAAGAAAAAGAUUAGACAAGCUUGCACUUCCUGUACUACUCUGUGGAGACUUGUUGUUGGUGGGCCCAUACACAAAAAGUUAUGUCCUCAUUCUCUGAAGUUGAAAUGAAUUAUAAGGAAAUGUGCAAAAAGAUGCACAAGAUACACAAAACAUACCAUUUUAUCUCAUGACACAGCCCCGAAAGGUUUCAGCAUUUCACUGUGUUAUUCAUAUUUCAUGACGGCAAGCAUUCAGGCAGUAAAACCAAUAAACAUGCACUCGCCGCUUUGAUUGAGUAGCAUGUGUAUCAGACAAUACCAUGCUUAAGGUACAAUAUGAGACCGGCAGGUAGCGAAUGCCGGCAGCAACAGGAGGUCAAGCUCAUGUCUGCAGACAGCAGCAGCAGCGGUUUUUCGCUGUUAUCAGAUUUAGCACGUUUCAUAUCUGCAUCCAAAUUCACAAAUUGCAAAUGGCUAUUGAGCCGUUUCUGAAUCAAUAUGUAAUUUGUUGGCUCGGAGAAGUCUGUAAACUUCAUAGCCUUUAGCUGUUUGGUACAUUGCAUUAUAUUGGAAGCAAUGUAAUGAACACCAUCUUUCAUUCCUACUGCAGCAUAAAUUGUCAUUUGCAGAAUCUCUCACUUUUGUAUGGCACUUUGUAAGGCAGUAUUAAUGUAUAGAAACUUCUCUCUUUAUUUUUUAUUUUUUUGUAUGAAACACUUUGCCUGAUGUUUACAUUUUUUGGAAGCAAUGUGGAUUGUUUGACAUGCAUGUUGUACGUACUUGAUUUUUUUUUUUUUUAAAUAAAACUGAAUUAAAGUUCCCAGCCUCAACAGAGGGGGAUCUGAAGAGCUGGGUGGGUGGGUGGUUUGUUGCGCUUGAACCUUUUGCAGCAGGGUGUAAACCUCAAAAUGAGGCCUGUAACCUUGUAACCCCCCUCCAAAAAAACCCAAAAAAACUUGCAGUAAUGAGUGCCGGGGUCUCCUGUGAAAGCCAGCUGUGCUGCUGCCUCACAAAACCCCGAAUGAUUAGAUAACUACAGUGCAGCGCCAUAUCAAAUAGUUCCAGGGAUCAAAUUCUCGAAAGGAGGGGAGUGCACUUUGAGAGCAUGAGUGUGUGUCCAUCUGUGCAUGUGAGGGACACAGAGAGAGGAAUGAGAGAUAAAGGCUGGGUAAAGAAGAA